This 24-nucleotide non-coding RNA is filed under the name Arabidopsis thaliana (thale cress). Lineage: Eukaryota; Viridiplantae; Streptophyta; Magnoliopsida; Brassicales; Brassicaceae. The record is from RNAcentral.
AUGGACCCUACAAAAACGCUGGAU